This 344-nucleotide unclassified non-coding RNA is filed under the name Hevea brasiliensis (rubber tree). The record is from RNAcentral. Lineage: Eukaryota; Viridiplantae; Streptophyta; Magnoliopsida; Malpighiales; Euphorbiaceae.
GGCAGUUUGAUAUCAAGCACAGCCUUGUCAAAUGUGUUCCUCACAUGCUGACACACCACCAUCAAGUUCUGACAAGCAUCUUUCAAAACCUCUCUUGCAGGAUCACCUGUUGUCUGGACUCUAAUAUUAACUCGAUUGUCUGAAGGAUGAGGAAUGCUGUACCCACAAAAUGUCACUCUUGGAUCUUGAUUCAAAGUGUAUCUGAGAGCAUUUGCAAGUGUAUGAUCUUCAUCAGCCAUUGAAAAUGUUGAUUUGGUCUCAUCUGUGAAGGAUCCAUGUUCCAUUGCGAGAGAGAGAAGGAGGGCGAGAAGAGAUGGAGUUGCUGGGUCGGUGGCCGGCGGGCC